GUCCACGCCCUAAACGAUGUCAACUAGGUGUCGGGAGCGCAAGUUCUUGGUACCGCAGCUAACGCGUGAAGUUGACCGCCUGGGGGAGUACGGUCGCAAGAUUAAAACUCAAAGGAAUUGACGGGGACCCGCACAAGCGGUGGAUGAUGUGGAUUAAUUCGAUGCAACGCGAACAACCUUACCUACCCUUGACAUGUCCAGGAGGCCACUGAGAGGUGGCUGUGCCCGAAAGGGAAUUGGAACACAGGUGCUGCAUGGCUGUCGU
This 265-nucleotide ribosomal RNA is filed under the name uncultured bacterium. Its description in RNAcentral is "partial 16S ribosomal RNA". It matches the Rfam family "Bacterial small subunit ribosomal RNA", at positions 793 to 1055 of the family's 1533-position model. The record is from RNAcentral.